GCCCAGGUGAUGGAAUUGCUAUACAUGCCUGCUUCAAACACAGGAUUGUGCGAGUUGGAGUCUCGCCCUGGGCACCA
RNAcentral lists this transfer RNA (77 nucleotides) under Candidatus Thiodiazotropha sp. (ex. Lucinisca nassula). RNAcentral's name for it is "tRNA-Leu". It matches the Rfam family "tRNA". From Rfam's summary of the family: Transfer RNA (tRNA) molecules are approximately 80 nucleotides in length. The record is from RNAcentral. Lineage: Bacteria; Pseudomonadati; Pseudomonadota; Gammaproteobacteria; Chromatiales; Sedimenticolaceae.